Molecule: transfer RNA, 67 nt
Filed under: Dehalococcoidia bacterium
Lineage: Bacteria; Bacillati; Chloroflexota; Dehalococcoidia
Description: tRNA-Val
Source: RNAcentral
CGAUGGUACAAAGGACGUACAUUUUACACACAGAAGGCCGUAGGUUCGAGUCCUACAUCGCCCACCA